CGGCGUGCUUAACACAUGCAAGUCGUACGAGAACUCUUCUGCUUGCAGAAGAUAGUAAAGUGGCGCACGGGUGAGUAACGCGUGGGUAAUCUACCUCUAAAUCGGGGAUAACCCGCCGAAAGGCGAGCUAAUACCGGAUAAUAUCUUUAAAACUUAGGUUUUUUAAGAUCAAAGGUGGUCUCUACAUGUAAGCUACUGUUUGGAGAUGAGCCCGCGUACCAUUAGCUUGUUGGUAGGGUAAUGGCCUACCAAGGCCGCGAUGGUUAGCUGGUCUGAGAGGAUGAUCAGCCACACUGGAACUGACACACGGUCCAGACUCCUACGGGAGGCAGCAGUGAGGAAUUUUGCGCAAUGGGGGAAACCCUGACGCAGCAACGCCGCGUGAGUGAUGAAGGCUUUCGGGUCGUAAAGCUCUGUCAAGUGGGAAGAAAAUGCUAGAUGCUAAUACCAUCUUGCACUGACGGUACCACUAAAGGAAGCACCGGCUAACUCCGUG
Molecule: ribosomal RNA, 496 nt
Filed under: uncultured bacterium
Lineage: Bacteria
Description: bacterial SSU rRNA
Rfam family: Bacterial small subunit ribosomal RNA
Source: RNAcentral